AGUAAUCAAUUCCAACUUUACCACUUUAAUCUCAGAGAAUAUUCAAUUUUUUCUCAGAAUAUUACCCCUCUCUCCCUUGUCCGUAACAUUAUUUCUUUUCCUACAAUGGCCUUAAAACGCUGUUGUAGCAGAAGCAACUUGCGUUUGCCAACAUCAAGCUGACAAGAAACUCUGUGGCAGAUAAAGUUUCUGAU
Molecule: long non-coding RNA, 194 nt
Organism: Etheostoma spectabile (orangethroat darter)
Lineage: Eukaryota; Metazoa; Chordata; Actinopteri; Perciformes; Percidae
Exons: 2
Source: RefSeq, a predicted model, not a curated record